Long non-coding RNA from Bufo bufo (common toad), 150 nucleotides. RefSeq lists it as uncharacterized. The record is from RefSeq and is a predicted model, not a curated record. NCBI's taxonomy places the organism in Eukaryota, Metazoa, Chordata, Amphibia, Anura, Bufonidae. The transcript is spliced from 3 exons.
CACCCGUUUUUUUUCUUCUGGCACAUGAACAGUGUCAUUUGGGGGCAAGAGAAAGGAAUGUGAGGUGUUUAUUGCAUUUGAUAUAUAUGUUAUAUAUACUCUUUGUAACCACGGUUGUCAUUACUGUUAAUACUACUGUUUAUCCCCCUG